GACCGAUAGUGAACCAGUACCGUGAGGGAAAGGCGAAAAGAACCCCGGCGAGGGGAGUGAAAAAGAACCUGAAACCGUGUACGUACAAGCAGUGGGAGCACGCUUAGGCGUGUGACUGCGUACCUUUUGUAUAAUGGGUCAGCGACUUAUAUUCUGUAGCAAGGUUAACCGAAUAGGGGAGCCGAAGGGAAACCGAGUCUUAACUGGGCGUUAAGUUGCAGGGUAUAGACCCGAAACCCGGUGAUCUAGCCAUGGGCAGGUUGAAGGUUGGGUAACACUAACUGGAGGACCGAACCGACUAAUGUUGAAAAAUUAGCGGAUGACUUGUGGCUGGGGGUGAAAGGCCAAUCAAACCGGGAGAUAGCUGGUUCUCCCCGAAAGCUAUUUAGGUAGCGCCUCGUGAAUUCAUCUCCGGGGGUAGAGCACUGUUUCGGCAAGGGGGUCAUCCCGACUUACCAACCCGAUGCAAACUGCGAAUACCGGAGAAUGUUAUCACGGGAGACACACGGCGGGUGCUAACGUCCGUCGUGAAGAGGGAAACAACCCAGACCGCCAGCUAAGGUCCCAAAGUCAUGGUUAAGUGGGAAACGAUGUGGGAAGGCCCAGACAGCCAGGAUGUUGGCUUAGAAGCAGCCAUCAUUUAAAGAAAGCGUAAUAGCUCACUGGUCGAGUCGGCCUGCGCGGAAGAUGUAACGGGGCUAAACCAUGCACCGAAGCUGCGGCAGCGACACUAUGUGUUGUUGGGUAGGGGAGCGUUCUGUAAGCCUGCGAAGGUGUGCUGUGAGGCAUGCUGGAGGUAUCAGAAGUGCGAAUGCUGACAUAAGUAACGAUAAAGCGGGUGAAAAGCCCGCUCGCCGGAAGACCAAGGGUUCCUGUCCAACGUUAAUCGGGGCAGGGUGAGUCGACCCCUAAGGCGAGGCCGAAAGGCGUAGUCGAUGGGAAACAGGUUAAUAUUCCUGUACUUGGUGUUACUGCGAAGGGGGGACGGAGAAGGCUAUGUUGGCCGGGCGACGGUUGUCCCGGUUUAAGCGUGUAGGCUGGUUUUCCAGGCAAAUCCGGAAAAUCAAGGCUGAGGCGUGAUGACGAGGCACUACGGUGCUGAAGCAACAAAUGCCCUGCUUCCAGGAAAAGCCUCUAAGCAUCAGGUAACAUCAAAUCGUACCCCAAACCGACACAGGUGGUCAGGUAGAGAAUACCAAGGCGCUUGAGAGAACUCGGGUGAAGGAACUAGGCAAAAUGGUGCCGUAACUUCGGGAGAAGGCACGCUGAUAUGUAGGUGAAGUCCCUCGCGGAUGGAGCUGAAAUCAGUCGAAGAUACCAGCUGGCUGCAACUGUUUAUUAAAAACACAGCACUGUGCAAACACGAAAGUGGACGUAUACGGUGUGACGCCUGCCCGGUGCCGGAAGGUUAAUUGAUGGGGUUAGCGCAAGCGAAGCUCUUGAUCGAAGCCCCGGUAAACGGCGGCCGUAACUAUAACGGUCCUAAGGUAGCGAAAUUCCUUGUCGGGUAAGUUCCGACCUGCACGAAUGGCGUAAUGAUGGCCAGGCUGUCUCCACCCGAGACUCAGUGAAAUUGAACUCGCUGUGAAGAUGCAGUGUACCCGCGGCAAGACGGAAAGACCCCGUGAACCUUUACUAUAGCUUGACACUGAACAUUGAGCCUUGAUGUGUAGGAUAGGUGGGAGGCUUUGAAGUGUGGACGCCAGUCUGCAUGGAGCCGACCUUGAAAUACCACCCUUUAAUGUUUGAUGUUCUAACGUUGACCCGUAAUCCGGGUUGCGGACAGUGUCUGGUGGGUAGUUUGACUGGGGCGGUCUCCUCCUAAAGAGUAACGGAGGAGCACGAAGGUUGGCUAAUCCUGGUCGGACAUCAGGAGGUUAGUGCAAUGGCAUAAGCCAGCUUGACUGCGAGCGUGACGGCGCGAGCAGGUGCGAAAGCAGGUCAUAGUGAUCCGGUGGUUCUGAAUGGAAGGGCCAUCGCUCAACGGAUAAAAGGUACUCCGGGGAUA
Molecule: ribosomal RNA, 2008 nt
Filed under: human gut metagenome
Description: bacterial LSU rRNA
Rfam family: Bacterial large subunit ribosomal RNA
Source: RNAcentral